This 1346-nucleotide ribosomal RNA is filed under the name uncultured bacterium. RNAcentral's name for it is "bacterial SSU rRNA". It matches the Rfam family "Bacterial small subunit ribosomal RNA", at positions 28 to 1381 of the family's 1533-position model. The record is from RNAcentral.
GACGAACGCUGUUGGCGUGCUUAACACAUGCAAGUCGAACGGAAAGGCCCUGCUUUUGUGGGGUGCUCGAGUGGCGAACGGGUGAGUAACACGUGAGUAACCUGCCCUUGACUUUGGGAUAACUUCAGGAAACUGGGGCUAAUACCGGAUAGGAGCUCCUGCUGCAUGGUGGGGGUUGGAAAGUUUCGGCGGUUGGGGAUGGACUCGCGGCUUAUCAGCUUGUUGGUGGGGUAGUGGCUUACCAAGGCUUUGACGGGUAGCCGGCCUGAGAGGGUGACCGGCUACAUUGGGACUGAGAUACGGCCCAGACUCCUACGGGAGGCAGCAGUGGGGAAUAUUGCACAAUGGGCGGAAGCCUGAUGCAGCAACGCCGCGUGCGGGAUGACGGCCUUCGGGUUGUAAACCGCUUUCGCCUGUGACGAAGCGUGAGUGACGGUAAUGGGUAAAGAAGCACCGGCUAACUACGUGCCAGCAGCCGCGGUGAUACGUAGGGUGCGAGCGUUGUCCGGAUUUAUUGGGCGUAAAGGGCUCGUAGGUGGUUGAUCGCGUCGGAAGUGUAAUCUUGGGGCUUAACCCUGAGCGUGCUUUCGAUACGGGUUGACUUGAGGAAGGUAGGGGAGAAUGGAAUUCCUGGUGGAGCGGUGGAAUGCGCAGAUAUCAGGAGGAACACCAGUGGCGAAGGCGGUUCUCUGGGCCUUUCCUGACGCUGAGGAGCGAAAGCGUGGGGAGCGAACAGGCUUAGAUACCCUGGUAGUCCACGCUGUAAACGGUGGGUACUAGGUGUGGGGUCCAUUCCACGGGUUCCGUGCCGUAGCUAACGCUUUAAGUACCCCGCCUGGGGAGUACGGCCGCAAGGCUAAAACUCAAAGGAAUUGACGGGGCCCCGCACAAGCGGCGGAGCAUGCGGAUUAAUUCGAUGCAACGCGUAGAACCUUACCUGGGUUUGACAUGGAUCGGGAGUGCUCAGAGAUGGGUGUGCCUCUUUUGGGGUCGGUUCACAGGUGGUGCAUGCCUGUCGUCAGCUCGUGUCGUGAGAUGUUGGGUUAAGUCCCGCAACGAGCGCAACCCUUGUUCACUGUUGCCAGCACGUUAUGGUGGGGACUCAGUGGAGACCGCCGGGGUCAACUCGGAGGAAGGUGGGGAUGACGUCAAGUCCUCAUGCCCCUUAUGUCCAGGGCUUCACGCAUGCUACAAUGGCUGGUACAGAGAGUGGCGAGCCUGUGAGGGUGAGCGAAUCUCGGAAAGCCGGUCUCAGUUCGGAUUGGGGUCUGCAACUCGACCUCAUGAAGUCGGAGUCGCUAGUAAUCGCAGAUCAGCAACGCUGCGGUGAAUACGUUCCCGGGGCU